UCCUUCCAUAUUCAUUAAUGUGGCCGCUAUACCUUAUAUUACAUUUACCUCUGAGUUUCUCCUAAUCAAUGGUAAGAAUAAGAUCAUUAUAUUUGAUAAAUAACAUCAAUAAAGAGUAAAAGAUAUCUUUUUAUUUAAUGGUGCUCUUUUGGCAAAGUGGAGAUGCAAUCUCUUCCAUUCAAACUCUUGUCUAUGGAGAUCGAUCCUAGACUCAAAAUAUGGGGGUGGAGAAACCUUGCUGGGAAAGUAGAGAGGUGUGGAGAGUUUAUUUGGUGGAGGUACCUUAGAAAAGUUUGUGGGCGGAGGAGUAGUAAUUGGUUU
This 321-nucleotide long non-coding RNA is filed under the name Glycine max (soybean). RNAcentral's name for it is "long non-coding RNA (GMAX_LNC002295)". Lineage: Eukaryota; Viridiplantae; Streptophyta; Magnoliopsida; Fabales; Fabaceae. The record is from RNAcentral.